Triticum aestivum (bread wheat) is the source of this 2217-nucleotide long non-coding RNA. RefSeq lists it as uncharacterized. The record is from RefSeq and is a predicted model, not a curated record. The transcript is spliced from 2 exons. Lineage: Eukaryota; Viridiplantae; Streptophyta; Magnoliopsida; Poales; Poaceae.
CAAAACACAUUUCUUUGCUUCUUUAUUUCAUUCAACGACAUUGGGUUACAUAAUAAUUCAUCAAUUCUUUGCUAGAAGAGUAAGACCAAAGAAAAUAAGAACCACAAUUAGACAUUUUAGAAGAUAUCCAACUUCCAUAACUGCUCCCACUAGUUGGAUUAAUAUCUUCUUGAUGCCUUGUUGAUCUGUGGAUUGUCGAUCUUGCAUACUUCAUUCUUCUUUGAUUCUAAAGAAGUAGACGAUGCUUCCCCUCUAAUUUCUUCUCUAAUCUCACAUCUAGUCUCAUGUUCAGCCUCAAUUCUAGCAACGAGUGCACAAACAUCUACUAAUUGUCAUGCUAUCAAUAGAUCGAUGUAUUCUUCUUCCCAAUACCAAAACGAGCAUCCAUCAUCCUACACACAUAAAUGAGCAUCAAAGACUUACCGAAAUUGAACCGAAUUCGGUGAAAAACCGAAUCAAAACAAGCACACACCCCAUCGUUUGUGCAUUUGUAAUAGCUCGUGGUAGAAACUCGGCGCACCACUUCCCGUGUGUAGUCAUCGCAUUGUAUGACCGGCAGUUGCAAGCCGGUGAGCUGCUGUGCGAGCAUCGAGCUCGGGCCACGGCCGGUUAUGUAGUUGCUGGAGAACCGACGGCAGGAGCGAUUAGAGUGGCUAGAGGAAGAACUGGUACAUGCAUGCGGCACAGAGGAUUUGCCGGGGCUGUGUGGGCCGCUUCCCGGCCAAUCCAUGGCAAGGCGCAGCCGCCAAUGGCCGGAAACGCCAAAUCCAGCGGCGGCGACAGUAGCCGUAGAUCCCCUCGAUUUUUGGCGGGUGGCGGGACGAAGAGUUGGUGGAGGACAGCGGUGGAGGCCUACCAGGCUUCCCCAGCGGCCAGCCAGUGCAGGCGGGGAGGGAGAAGGGGUAGGAGGGGCAGCGGGGGCGAAGAUGCGGCGCAGGAGGGGAGGGAGAGGCAGCAGAGGAGAGCCGCGCCGUUUUACUCGGUGGAGCAAAGAGGGGGUAAAACUAGGGAAAUUUUUAGAGGAGGAGUACAAUUUUACUCUGUUAGGCCGGAUAGGGGAUCGGCUAAAUGCCGGUUAGUGGAGUAAAAAGCUAAAUAUACUCAGUUAUAGGGGAUCGGUUAGAAAUGCCCUAAGCUAGUCCCAGUUCAGAUAUUGUUUGUUGUAUUUAGGAUCCAUAAUAUGGCUUGUCAAGUUGUAAUAGCUCCUCGCGUGCACAAUUCUUGUGCUAGGUCCUGAGAGAUUGCUUCUUAUUUAUCUACUUAUCUGUCUUGCCAUUAUUAUUCCAAUUUGUAUUGUUCGGUCUGUACUGUGCUCAUUGCUCGCAGAGAUAAAUGAACAACGAAAAACGUUACUAAUUUCACGCUGGCCACCUAUCUAUCACAAGAGAAUAGGUGGAAAGUGACCACGACAUCGGAUAAUAUGAUGCCCGGCGAAUCAUGUCAUCCAUGCAAAUUGCAGCUAGCAUUAGUCUGGUAGUGAUCAUAUCAAGCAAUGGAAACAAUCAUAGGACAACUCUGCACAAGAUCUGCGUGGUAAACGAUGCUGCAUUGAUCUGAAUAUCCCUGCACGUACUGAGUGCGGGCCUCCUCUGCAUGCAUGAACCAUGAUGGUAGAUGGAGGUGCAACACUAAAGCUGACGCGUUUGGUGCCCGGCGUCGUGUAUAAAAUGAGACCUCCGCAUCGCUCUCAGAACUCACACCGCUCUCCCCACACCAAAAUCAAGCACUACAGCUACCUACGUGGUUCAGAUUGCAGAGAGCCAGCGUGCACUACGCUCUGUUCACUUCGGCUAGCUUCACUUCCACCAACAUGGCCAACUUUGCCGCCCAGCUCAAGGAUAGGUUUUUCGGACUCGUCGACCGCGUCACCGGCUGUGGCCGCGCUGGGGUCAAGGAAGAGGCCGCCAAGUCGGCGCCGGCACCGACUGUGCAGGAGCACGUCGAGAUUCGGCCAAGAGGGCCCAAUGUGUCAGGAGGAUCAGAGGCGGGGGUCAAUUAGGCAUCGUGGAUUACUAUCUGCUGAUGUCCCGAGAGUUGUCGCUUCGCUCCAGAUUCAUGCAUGUGGCCUCCCUUGUUCUGAAAGUUGAAACAAAUGCUUUCCUUUGCUGGUGUUCUGAAUGCGUGAAGUGUGCUUGUGCGUGCGUGGGUGUGUUUUUAAUGUUCAACAAGAUUUAUUUUUUCAUACCUCAAAAGUGGCAACUGAAGUAUCGAGCUUAA